UCAGGACGAACGCUGGCGGCGUGCCUAAUACAUGCAAGUAGAACGCUGAAGGAGGAGCUUGCUCUUCUGGAUGAGUUGCGAACGGGUGAGUAACGCGUAGGUAACCUGCCUGGUAGCGGGGGCAUAACUAUUGGAAACGAUAGCUAAUACCGCAUAAGAGUAGAUAUCGCAUGAUAGCCGCUUGAAAGGUGCAAUUGCACCACUACCAGAUGGACCCGCGUUGUAUUAGCUAGUUGGUGAGGUAACGGCUCACCAAGGCAACGAUACAUAGCCGACCUGAGAGGGUGAUCGGCCACACUGGGACUGAGACACGGCCCAGACUCCUACGGGAGGCAGCAGUAGGGAAUCUUCGGCAAUGGACGAAAGUCUGACCGAGCAACGCCGCGUGAGUGAAGAAGGUUUUCGGAUCGUAAAGCUCUGUUGUAAGAGAAGAACGAGUGUGAGAGUGGAAAGUUCACACUGUGACGGUAUCUUACCAGAAAGGGACGGCUAACUACGUGCCAGCAGCCGCGGUAAUACGUAGGUCCCGAGCGUUGUCCGGAUUUAUUGGGCGUAAAGCGAGCGCAGGCGGUUAGAUAAGUCUGAAGUUAAAGGCUGUGGCUUAACCAUAGUACGCUUCGGAAACUGUUUAACUUGAGUGCAAGAGGGGAGAGUGGAAUUCCAUGUGUAGCGGUGAAAUGCGUAGAUACAUGGAGGAACACCGGUGGCGAAAGCGGCUCUCUGGCUUGUAACUGACGCUGAGGCUCGAAAGCGUGGGGAGCAAACAGGAUUAGAUACCUG
RNAcentral lists this ribosomal RNA (780 nucleotides) under uncultured Streptococcaceae bacterium. Its description in RNAcentral is "bacterial SSU rRNA". It matches the Rfam family "Bacterial small subunit ribosomal RNA", at positions 24 to 789 of the family's 1533-position model. Lineage: Bacteria; Bacillati; Bacillota; Bacilli; Lactobacillales; Streptococcaceae. The record is from RNAcentral.